RNAcentral lists this ribosomal RNA (1292 nucleotides) under uncultured bacterium. Its description in RNAcentral is "bacterial SSU rRNA". It matches the Rfam family "Bacterial small subunit ribosomal RNA", at positions 20 to 1309 of the family's 1533-position model. The record is from RNAcentral.
UGGCUCAGGAUGAACGCUAGCUACAGGCUUAACACAUGCAAGUCGAGGGGCAGCAUGGUCUUAGCUUGCUAAGGCCGAUGGCGACCGGCGCACGGGUGAGUAACACGUAUCCAACCUGCCGUCUACUCUUGGACAGCCUUCUGAAAGGAAGAUUAAUACAAGAUGGCAUCAUGAGUCCGCAUGUUCACAUGAUUAAAGGUAUUCCGGUAGACGAUGGGGAUGCGUUCCAUUAGAUAGUAGGCGGGGUAACGGCCCACCUAGUCUUCGAUGGAUAGGGGUUCUGAGAGGAAGGUCCCCCACAUUGGAACUGAGACACGGUCCAAACUCCUACGGGAGGCAGUAGUGAGGAAUAUUGGUCAAUGGGCGAGAGCCUGAACCAGCCAAGUAGCGUGAAGGAUGACUGCCCUAUGGGUUGUAAACUUCUUUUAUAAAGGAGUAAAGUCGGGUAUGCAUACCCGUUUGCAUGUACUUUAUGAAUAAGGAUCGGCUAACUCCGUGCCAGCAGCCGCGGUAAUACGGAGGAUCCGAGCGUUAUCCGGAUUUAUUGGGUUUAAAGGGAGCGUAGAUGGAUGUUUAAGUCAGUUGUGAAAGUUUGCGGCUCAACCGUAAAAUUGCAGUUGAUACUGGAUAUCUUGAGUGCAGUUGAGGCAGGCGGAAUUCGUGGUGUAGCGGUGAAAUGCUUAGAUAUCACGAAGAACUCCGAUUGCGAAGGCAGCCUGCUAAGCUGCAACUGACAUUGAGGCUCGAAAGUGUGGGUAUCAAACAGGAUUAGAUACCCUGGUAGUCCACACGGUAAACGAUGAAUACUCGCUGUUUGCGAUAUACAGCAAGCGGCCAAGCGAAAGCGUUAAGUAUUCCACCUGGGGAGUACGCCGGCAACGGUGAAACUCAAAGGAAUUGACGGGGGCCCGCACAAGCGGAGGAACAUGUGGUUUAAUUCGAUGAUACGCGAGGAACCUUACCCGGGCUUAAAUUGCAGAUGAAUUACGGUGAAAGCCGUAAGCCGCAAGGCAUCUGUGAAGGUGCUGCAUGGUUGUCGUCAGCUCGUGCCGUGAGGUGUCGGCUUAAGUGCCAUAACGAGCGCAACCCUUGUUGUCAGUUACUAACAGGUUCCGCUGAGGACUCUGACAAGACUGCCAUCGUAAGAUGUGAGGAAGGUGGGGAUGACGUCAAAUCAGCACGGCCCUUACGUCCGGGGCUACACACGUGUUACAAUGGGGGGUACAGAGGGCCGCUACCACGCGAGUGGAUGCCAAUCCCAAAACCUCUCUCAGUUCGGAUCGAAGUCUGCA